RNA transcript from Triticum urartu, 3299 nucleotides. RefSeq lists it as uncharacterized. Lineage: Eukaryota; Viridiplantae; Streptophyta; Magnoliopsida; Poales; Poaceae. The record is from RefSeq and is a predicted model, not a curated record.
AGUUACAACUUACAAGGACCGGUGCGGGAGGCGCUUGAGCGGCGCGUACCAACAAGGAAGAAUUUUCUAAAGAAUAAAAACAAGGAAGAAACCAGCGCUAAAUAGGAAAUCGCCGCUCUGGCGUCCGCGAUCGAUUCUGAAUCCAUGGGCAGACCCCUUUAAAUUCAAUCCCGUCCCGCCUCUUCUUCACCCUCCGCAAUUAGUUUCGAUGGGGCAACGUGCAAGGCGAAAUAGGGCUCGCCGUCGCCCUGCUCUCCCUCGUCCUGCUUCUGCUGCUUCUCCCCCUCCUCCCCUGGGACGUCGUACGCCGACCUUUGUCGCUGGCUGGGGCAGAGUGGCGUAAUAUUGGUGCUCUUUGAGACGCCCUAUGGAUUUGCAGUCUUGCAUUAUGAUGGGGUCAAACUUUUUUGUGCAAAUGCCUUGGAGGUACCUAUGUCCCCCUCUUGCUUUCUUAUUCUUCCCUUUAUUUUAUUUAUUUAUUAAUUGAUAUACUUGCCUGCCCUUGCCCUCCUUUGUCAUCCUUCUAAAUUUUGUCUGGAUUAAUUGCAAGAUAUCUGGUUAGAAUUCAUCGACAUGCCCAGGGCACGAAUGGUCGGUACCUCUUAUUUCAAUCUUGCAUCAUAUUCCCAUGUUCUUUAAUUUAUGUUUCGCCCCCCCUCUUAAUUGAAGAGACAAAAUGAAAGAAUUCAGGCACAUUAUAUUGGCCAUUAGUUGUUUUCUUUUCUUUCUUUCUUUGCAAGUACUCCCUCUGUCUCAAAAUAAAUGUCUUGAUACUAACUUUAGUACAAAGUUGUACUAAAGUUGAGAGACACUUAUUUUGGGACGGAGGGAGUAGGCUAUUAGUUGUCUGACCAAUUAUAUGUAUAGUUGUAUACCAGUCCUAAAAACACAUUCUCAGGUAACUGCUAGCUAGGAUGAUUGAGGCCUGACGUGAUAUUUGUACCGAUCAGAAAAAUGAGUGGGAUCUGAUACUCUUUUGAGCAAGAGUAGGAACUUAGUAUUCAGGCUUACUCGAUCAGAGAUUUCAUGCUCCUGUUUGUUUUCUUCUCCAAGUACUAUUUGUUCCUCUUCUUAAGAAUCAAUGCCUCCAGCCUUUCCCCUCUAUGUUCGUUCUAUCCUCCUGUUAGUUCUUGCAACUAGUACUUCUUUGAUUCCCUCUACUAUCAGGUCUGACUUGAUUUUUCCUCAAGAAGUGUUCCUGAUAGCUGGCCAAGUAAAGUGGAUAACAGAUUAUUUGAGUGAGCGAGCAGCGCACAAUAGGAAAUACAGUAUACGAAGCUAAAAAGGGGGGAUUUGACCGCAAAUUGGAUAACAACGUUAACUAAUAUGUCUUCUGUUACAGACAUUAUGAUAAUUAUAAUUAUCAGGAGUGAAAAGGGUUUAACAUAUCAGUUAGACUAAAGGGUAAACGGUUAAGGAUAGGAUUUUUGCGAGGAGCAUCGCAAUAAAUACCUUCUACCAAAUGACACAACUAUCAUAUGUUUUUAAAAUGGCACACAUCGCAUUAUCUUAGCGAAUGAACCUAUUCUGAAUUAGACUGCAAUAAUUUGAUAACGAUGACCUAAAUAGACUACAUCUUUACAGUCGAGGCCUGCUAACAUGAAUCCUGUUUGGUCAUGAUUGAGACAUGGCAUGGUGUAUGACUGAUUAUUUGUUUUCCCUGCUAACAUGCAUGCUCGUCUUUGUGUUUUUCCUUUAUCAGACUGUUAAUUUUAAAGAAUUUCAAAUUUUUGAUGACAAGGCCAGGACCAUUAAUAGUGAUGGUGUUUGUUCGGAGCUUGCUGAGAUGAUCAAGAGGCCGCUCUGGCCUGGUCAGAAACUUGCUGUUGGAAAGCAGGAAUAUAAAGACAUCAUUGAAGCAAGUUUGGGAAUUCAUUGCCUGUUCAAUGAAACUGUGCUGGAAGUAAUGUGGGGCUUGAAGAAUCUCAUCAAGAUGUUAGUGCCUGAUGAAAAAAUUGGAACUGACUAAUGAGGACCGCCUCCAGAUCAGCCAAGGAAUGAAAUCGGUCCUGGAUCGUCAUGGCGUUGAGGUCGAUGCCAACUUGGUUAAUUCAGACAUCGUUGAUAUUGCAUCUACCGUGUAUGAGUGUGAUCUUCUUGUGGGUUCACGUGAUGCAUUGUUGUAGCAUUAUGGUAACAAGCUUGCGGUGGUAUCAGGAAUUGACUCUAAGAAUUGGGGCAAACUGAAACCUGCAACUGCUCUUAAGUUAAUAUGUUAUCCUGAAGAGGAAAAUGUAAGUUACGAUCUUGAAGGCGAUCCUGAAGAGGAAAAUGUAACUGGCGAUCCUGAAGAGGAUAAUGUAACUGGCGGUCUUGAAGAGAUGCUGUCAAAGACCGAGGUAGAAAAAUUGAUGGCUGAUGUAGAUCACUAUGAAGAUAAGCUCGACAAGCGGACUUGCUUGGACAUGUACCAAACAAUUGUGUGGGGUUAUGGAAUUAGGCUUGAGGCACUAGAAUAGUUGGGUUCCAUGGUCAAGGAGGCAAAAAAAGGUUUGAAGCUGCACCAGGGGCCCAUGGCCAAGGAGGCAGAACAAGAAUUGAAGCUGCAACCCGAGGGGGUACAUGGUCAAGUAGGCAAAAGAAAAUUUGAAGCCGCACCAGGGGUGUUGGAUGCAGCAGAUGGAUGGAGACAGAAAACAAAAUUUUAGACAAACCAACAUCUUGUUUGGUGAUUUAAAGUGUAGGAUAGGGGCAAUUCGGUAUCUACUCUUAGAUGACAUGUUUGGCUAGACUGGCAUUGUGUUUGGCUAGACUGACCUCUUUAUACUUCCUAUUUUCAGGGGCCAAGCCAAACCCAACAAGAAAGCAAAGCUGAAUAAGCCGAUCGAUGAUGUCAAUCCAUCUGAACUAGAGAAACAACAACUAGAAUCUUCUCAUCCAACUGCAGAAGCCGCCAUUGAUGACCAACCACCAGAAGAUCAUGAAGCCUCCAUAGACCAUAUGGAUGUUGAACCAGUGAUUUCUAAGCCGCUGAGCCCAGCUAAGCCCAUCAAAGAAAAAACUGACGAUGUUGUGGUUACUGGGUUUGGUUACACAUCACCGGAUAACCCCACUGUCUUAUCAAAACACAGCGCCAAGGAAGAAAUUUCUGCUGAAGAUAAAGGCAAGUGGAAGGUAGAUAUGGAUAGCUAUGCCCAUUUCAGUGCCCAAGACCUCCACUCUGGUUACUUGAACCGCCUGUAUACCAACCGCGACUUUGAAGCCGGCUUAGUAAAUCUGAUGAAGGAGCGCUAUGAGGUAAACGUUGCCACUCCUUUAUAUAUGAAUAUACACUACAAAAAAAAGACACAUCCGUGAUA